UAUUGAAACACUGGUUCCCAUAUGAUAACCGAAGUUAAGCAACAUCAAGUCUGGUCAGUACUUAGAUGGGUGACCACUUGGAAAUACAAAGUGCUGUAAG
This is a non-coding RNA of Acanthosepion pharaonis, 100 nucleotides long. The record is from the annotation of a GenBank genome assembly. NCBI's taxonomy places the organism in Eukaryota, Metazoa, Mollusca, Cephalopoda, Sepiida, Sepiidae.